Molecule: long non-coding RNA, 461 nt
Organism: Ochotona curzoniae (black-lipped pika)
Lineage: Eukaryota; Metazoa; Chordata; Mammalia; Lagomorpha; Ochotonidae
Exons: 3
Source: RefSeq, a predicted model, not a curated record
UGACAUGCACUGAGAGGAAUGACCUAGUUCCACGGAAAGAAAUGAGAUACCUUGUGUGGAGAGCCAAACACACCACGUUUUAAAAGGCAAGGCAGAGUGGAGCGGAAGGAAAUGGCCGUGACGCUGGACUCUGCUGGCUGCUGAUGCAUUGGUACCUGUGGUGGAUGAAAUGGAACUGGUGAGAAAGUCCGGGAUCCCACCUGCUGAUUGUCAUAGGACAACCUAUAAAGCUCCUAUAAAGCAACACCUCCCAUUGUACAACUCAGUUCAUCUUCACAACAGAAUCGUAACUACUGAGUCUGACAUGCAGGGUACUUCUCACAUUCAAUAAAUGUUUGUCAGAUUUAACCAAAUACAGGAAAAUCAGUCAAAGGAGAGAUCUGGCAUCUUCAGCACUGAAAAGAAAAACAGUUAUCGAAUAAGAGUUCUACUCUAUGACUUAAGCCUUGCCCCCAAAUAAA